CUACACCAGUUUUCGAUCGAUUAGCGAAGUGAAACAACAUCGAGUCUGGUUAGUACUUGGAUGGGUGACCGCUUGACAAUACCACGUGCUGUAG
Acanthosepion pharaonis is the source of this 94-nucleotide non-coding RNA. The record is from the annotation of a GenBank genome assembly. NCBI's taxonomy places the organism in Eukaryota, Metazoa, Mollusca, Cephalopoda, Sepiida, Sepiidae.